UAGUCCACGCCGUAAACGAUGGUUACUAGCUGUUUGGUUUUCGGACUGAGUGGCUAAGCGAAAGUGAUAAGUAACCCACCUGGGGAGUACGUUCGCAAGAAUGAAACUCAAAGGAAUUGACGGGGGCCCGCACAAGCGGUGGAGCAUGUGGUUUAAUUCGAUGAUACGCGAGGAACCUUACCAGGGCUUAAAUGUAGAUUGACAGGUUUAGAGAUAGACUUUUCUUCGGACAAUUUACAAGGUGCUGCAUGGUUGUCGUCAGCUCGUGCCGUGAGGUGUCAGGUUAAGUCCUAUAACGAGCGCAACCCCUGUUGUUAGUUGCCAGUGAGUAAUGUCGGGAACUCUAACAAGACUGCCGGUGCAAACCGCGAGGAAGGUGGGGAUGACGUCAAAUCAUCACGGCCCUUACGUCCUGGGCCACACACGUGCUACAAUGGCCGUGACAAAGAGUUGCUACUUUGUGAAAACAAGCUAAAUCUCAUAAACGCGGCCUCAGUUCGGAUUGCAGGCUGAAACUCGCCUGCA
RNAcentral lists this ribosomal RNA (525 nucleotides) under uncultured bacterium. RNAcentral's name for it is "bacterial SSU rRNA". It matches the Rfam family "Bacterial small subunit ribosomal RNA", at positions 791 to 1320 of the family's 1533-position model. The record is from RNAcentral.